RNAcentral lists this ribosomal RNA (253 nucleotides) under uncultured bacterium. RNAcentral describes it as "partial 16S ribosomal RNA". It matches the Rfam family "Bacterial small subunit ribosomal RNA", at positions 524 to 776 of the family's 1533-position model. The record is from RNAcentral.
GACAGAGGGUGCAAACGUUGUUCGGAAUUACUGGGCGUAAAGCGUGUGUAGGCGGUCCUCUAAGUCGGGUGUGAAAGCCCAGGGCUCAACCCUGGAAGUGCACUCGAAACUGGAAGGCUAGAGUACCGGAGAGGUUGGUGGAAUUCCCAGUGUAGAGGUGAAAUUCGUAGAUAUUGGGAGGAACACCGGUGGCGAAGGCGGCUACCUGGACAGUGAUUGACGCUGAGACGCGAAAGCAUGGGUAGCAAACAGG